Molecule: long non-coding RNA, 562 nt
Filed under: Aquila chrysaetos chrysaetos
Lineage: Eukaryota; Metazoa; Chordata; Aves; Accipitriformes; Accipitridae
Description: lncRNA (ENSACCG00020016074.1)
Source: RNAcentral
UUCUCUCUCCUAGAGGCCACGCUGUGGGUGCAGUUGUCCGUUCGUCCCCCGGGGAUGCCAUUGACUGCAGCAGCCUCAGGCUUGCGUGGGCUGUCUCUGCCUGGCCUCCCUCUCCUCGCGGCGCGGGAGCGCAGAGGGACAGGCGGAGUGCAUACUGGCUGUGGACAGGAGCUGCUGAAGCUGGAGAGGCUAGAGAAUGUUAAAGAAGAAAUGGAAGGCCAUCCGGCUGGCAGCUGCCUUCUGCUGCAGGCAAGAGAGACCCUGCCUCUCUGCUUCCGGAAGGAUCCCUCUUCAUAGUCCACAGCAGGUCAGACCGCCAACGUGCACCACAGGGUGGAGGACAGUCAAGAGACAGGAGUUACAGAAGAGGAAGGGAAGAGAGAAGGAGAAAGAAAUGUCUGAACUGGCAAAGGCUUCUGGCAGUGCCGAGAGCAAGAGCUGUGUGUCACCUUCCGCAUCACACGAAGAAAAUCCUGCGUGGGUAAUUCCGCUUGCUGCUCAGCGUUCUAGCGAUGGGUCGUUUCUACUGUGGCGAAGCAUCGAGAUGCGGUUUUCGGUGUAA